Molecule: unclassified non-coding RNA, 284 nt
Filed under: Stypella sp.
Lineage: Eukaryota; Fungi; Basidiomycota; Agaricomycetes; Auriculariales; Hyaloriaceae
Description: partial contains 5.8S ribosomal RNA, internal transcribed spacer 2, and large subunit ribosomal RNA
Rfam family: 5.8S ribosomal RNA (bases 1-52)
Source: RNAcentral
AACGCACCUUGCGCUCCUUGGUAUUCCGAGGAGCAUGCCUGUUUGAGCGUCGUGAAUCUCUCAACCCACAAAUUGUUUGUUCAGUUUGUGCGGCUUGGACUUGGAGGCAUUGCUGGCGAUGGUCAGCUCCUCUCAAAUGUAUUAGCUGGGCUUAGCUCGGUGGAACGGUUAGUGUGAUAAUUAUCUGCGCUGCUUACUACAUCGGAUCCCGCUUCUAAUCGUCCGCAAGGACAAUUCACUUUGAAUCUGACCUCAAAUCAGGUAGGACUACCCGCUGAACUUAA